GUCGGGAUAGCUCAGCUGGUANAGCAAAGGACUGAAAAUC
This 40-nucleotide transfer RNA is filed under the name Acalypha papillosa. RNAcentral describes it as "partial tRNA-Phe". Lineage: Eukaryota; Viridiplantae; Streptophyta; Magnoliopsida; Malpighiales; Euphorbiaceae. The record is from RNAcentral.